CCUACGGGUGGCAGCAGUGGGGAAUCUUGCACAAUGGGGGAAACCCUGAUGGAGCGACGCCGCGUGGGUGAGGAAGUAUUUCGGUAUGUAAAGCUCUAUCAGCAGGGAAGAAAAUGACGGUAACUGACUAAGAAGCCUCGGCUAACUACGUGCCAGCAGCCGCGGUAAUACGUAGGGGGAAAGCGUUCUCCGGAUUUACUGGGUGUAAAGGGAGCGUAGACGGCUAAUCAAGUCAGAAGUGAAAGCCCAGGGCUCAACCUUGGUAGUGCUUUUGAAACUGAGUAGCUAGAGUGCAGGAGAGGUAAGCGGAAGUCCAAGUGUAGCGGUGAAAUGCGUAGAUAUUAGGAGGAACACCAGUGGCGAAGGCGGCUUACUGGACUGUAACUGACGUUGAGGCUCGAAAGCGUGGGGAGCAAACAGGAUUAGAUACCCUGGUAGUC
This 440-nucleotide ribosomal RNA is filed under the name uncultured bacterium. RNAcentral describes it as "partial 16S ribosomal RNA". It matches the Rfam family "Bacterial small subunit ribosomal RNA", at positions 338 to 795 of the family's 1533-position model. The record is from RNAcentral.